UACGGAGGGUGCAAGCGUUAAUCGGAAUUACUGGGCGUAAAGCGCGCGUAGGCGGUUAUUUAAGUCGGAUGUGAAAGCCCCGGGCUCAACCUGGGAAUUGCUUUCGAUACUGGGUAACUAGAGUAUGGGAGAGGGUUGUGGAAUUCCACGUGUAGCGGUGAAAUGCGUAGAUAUCGGGAAGAAGGCCGGUGGCGAAGGCG
This 200-nucleotide ribosomal RNA is filed under the name uncultured bacterium. Its description in RNAcentral is "partial 16S ribosomal RNA". It matches the Rfam family "Bacterial small subunit ribosomal RNA", at positions 524 to 723 of the family's 1533-position model. The record is from RNAcentral.